ACGUGUCAGACAUUUGACUUGUCAUUGUGUUUUCAGUUCAUCAAAGUUAGCUCCAACAUGUUGUUUACCGGUAAAUAUCUUGUUCUGUGUUCAGUUGUUCUCAAAGAAACUCGGAGGAGUCGGCGGUUCAUUUUUUUCCGAGUUAUAUACUGAAAUGCGCAUGCGCACCAGCCUCUCCUGACCUGUCCUGUGUUGUAAUACCACUUUGUGACUGUUGACGCUGUGUGAGUCAGUGGCGCGUCAAGUCUGCCCUCAGUCCCACGAAGAAGAACAACUUCCGGCAGCGCUUGACGUUGGCAUCACAGAAACACAGCAAUGGCUGAACCUGCUAAAAGACGAUAUUCAUCUGCGUCCCGAAGAACCGCUCCCGACAAGAAACCACGUUCAACGGCAAAGAAAAGAAGCAACAGAGUAAAUCUGGAUGUGUCUUCCCGCCGCUGGAGAAGCUGCUGAGAGGAAAGAGAUGCGGUUUGAUGCCGAGCUCGCAACUUUCCUGUUAGCCUGGACCUGAGCCAGUACAGGUGUAAUACCGCCUCCACCUGUCUCACCUACGGCAGAGAGUCCAGACAGUGAGGAGGGUCCAGUCUUAGACUGUCUCAAACAUUUCAUAGUCAGAAGAGGAGCUGCUUGACAUGUCCUUAUUUUUCCUUCUGUGUGGGACGGCAGAAUCCAGCUCGGAUCAGAACUACACCAUCCGAAACCAGCAAGAAACGGUAAGUCAUGCACAUGACUCCUCCCAUUAUACGUGUAUAUAGACUCACAUUAGGGUCAAAAUGACUGAGCUUGUAAAGUGACCUUAACAAAUAAUUCCAAUGUUUGUAGUUGUAAAUCAACAUUUGUUAACCUGUAAAAUAAAUCUCCAUGACAAAUUCAACUUCCUGCAUGUGUAGAAGAGA
Molecule: long non-coding RNA, 896 nt
Organism: Seriola aureovittata
Lineage: Eukaryota; Metazoa; Chordata; Actinopteri; Carangiformes; Carangidae
Exons: 4
Source: RefSeq, a predicted model, not a curated record